GCCCGUUUAGAGCAGAGGUUAGCUCGCUGGCCUCCGGUUCUUUCCCAGAUCCCUACAGCCAGAAGUCAUCGGUUCGAAUCCGAUAACGGGUA
RNAcentral lists this transfer RNA (92 nucleotides) under Biscogniauxia mediterranea. RNAcentral describes it as "tRNA-Arg". It matches the Rfam family "tRNA". From Rfam's summary of the family: Transfer RNA (tRNA) molecules are approximately 80 nucleotides in length. Their secondary structure includes four short double-helical elements and three loops (D, anti-codon, and T loops). The record is from RNAcentral. Lineage: Eukaryota; Fungi; Ascomycota; Sordariomycetes; Xylariales; Xylariaceae.